GCCUGAAUGAGUGAAAGGUUGAUUAAAGGUGGCCUACAACCCUUAACCAGUUUUACUUUUGAUCAUGCUUAUGUAUUGGCUUAGAAUCAAAGUUGUUGUCUUUUGAUUGCAUAACUUUCGAAGUCUCUCCUCUUCAGUUUCCACUCAAACCUGGUAACCCCCAGUGAGAAGAAUAUAGUAUUGGAAAUCAGUUCUCUUGUUACUUCCAUAAACCAUGUGACCUGGUCAGUUACAGAAAUCUAUGCAGGGUUAUUACUUUGAAAUGUGUCCAAUGUCACAGAUUCCUAAGGGACUUGUAUCCAUUCAGUGUGUCUUUGUGUGUUUUUUUUUUUAAAGUAAGUGAUGCUUACCCAAAAAUUCACUAUUGAAGUACUUUAGCAAGUAUUUAUUUUUCAGAAACCCACUUGUGGGAAGUUUUCCUGUAUUUUUGGUAGUAAUUAGAGGGAUGAUUAUAUCAUUUAAU
Molecule: long non-coding RNA, 463 nt
Filed under: Bos taurus (domestic cattle)
Lineage: Eukaryota; Metazoa; Chordata; Mammalia; Artiodactyla; Bovidae
Description: long non-coding RNA NONBTAT023511
Source: RNAcentral